UACGGAGGGUGCAAGCGUUAAUCGGAAUUACUGGGCGUAAAGCGUGCGCAGGCGGUUUGUUAAGUCCGUUGUGAAAGCCCCGAGCUCAACUUGGGAAUUGCAGUGGAUACUGGCAGGCUGGAGCACGGUAGAGGAAGGUGGAAUUCCCGGUGUAGCAGUGAAAUGCGUAGAUAUCAGGAAGAACACCCGUGGCUAAGGCGGCUCUCUAGUACGGUACUGACGCUGAGACGCGAAAGCGUGGGGAGCGAACAGG
This 253-nucleotide ribosomal RNA is filed under the name uncultured bacterium. RNAcentral's name for it is "partial 16S ribosomal RNA". It matches the Rfam family "Bacterial small subunit ribosomal RNA", at positions 524 to 776 of the family's 1533-position model. The record is from RNAcentral.